CCGCCGCUCCGCCUCCCUAGCCGCCACCCGCCCUUCUCCUCCUCCAAGGUCCCAUCCCCAUCUCGUCGGUUGGCCUCCUCCAAGGACCUGCUGCUUCACCUCUCGUUUUUUCGCUGGGUAGGGGUGCAGAAGGCGGCACGAGCAAGCGGGAGCAGCGCCGCCGUCCGCCGCCGCACGACCAUCUCAGCAGCAACGACGCCUCGUUCCUUCUACUCCUCUCCCCUCCGCCCCUGUCCCGUAUGCGGCAUCGCGCACCUCUCCCCCUCCCCAUCGCGGCCGCUGCAUCGAGCCACCACCGCUCGAUCCGGUCGAGCAGGGAUGAACAGACGUAGUCAACUUCCAAGCGGAAGGCGUGGGGUCGAGCAGAUCUGGAGCUCCGUCCAGCAGCGACGAGGAUUGCAGCUCACAGGCGAAGCGCUCGCAGCCGGACAUCCACGGUGGUGCCCAGGCUCUGGCGACCACGAUUGAAGUUGAGUCCGUGAGGAAGGGGAGGAAGCAGAGAUGUUGAUGGAAAGGGAGAAGUCUAGAGGUUGAGGGAGGAGGAAGAGGAGGUCUCGGGCCAUGGUUCUCCAUGUGGUACAGCCAGGCCAUGUUGGACUAGCAGCAGAUCCAGUGGUUGAUGUUGUAUACGCCUGAUACAACUACUACUUAACAUCAGAAGGUCCCACUUCCUUUGCACCUAUGAUUGUGACUGAAUUGUGGAUAGUAGUGGUGGCCAAUCCCAUGUCCUUCUUAAGUUCUUAUAAUAGCAGAUGGAAAGGUUACACGCAGUGUUGACACAGGUAAUGGAUAGUUGAGCCCACAGGAAAGAAAAACUACAGAUGCCACUAUGAAAGCAAGUGACUACCUUUUGCCAGUUGUGAUUGUUGGAGUUGCUGAUGGGCCAUGGGACUUGAUGAGGCAAUUUGAUGACAACAUACCUUCUUGUGCAUUUAAUAAUUUUCAGCUCAGUCACAGAUGGAACCCCGAGCCGAUGGAAGAAUAGGAAGGUGCCCAAGAUCAAGGCGGGGAACAUCACAAUCUGGUAUCCAUGGUAGCGAUUUGAGCGGGCACAUCACAAUCUGGUAUCCAUGGUAGUGAUUCGAGCGGCAAACCCAAUCUUUGAUGUCGCUGAUGUAUUUUUUCUGUUACCAAUGAACCUGAUUGGUCUGGGUUUUCACUAUUGUUUCCCUGUUACCGAUUUUUUACUUCAGAGUUCAUAUAGCGACCCUUUCUUCAUGUGAACAAUAUGGUCAGGUCAGUUGAGGAGACCAUGUAUAUUGUUGAUUGCCAAUCGAUUCUACUCAUCCUUGCACUAGAUUUUAUGCCUAAAUGUAGACGUUUGUCCAGAUACCCCUACUCUGAAUAAUUUCAUGAGAAAUGAUGUUCUUCAGGUUUACUGUUGGUGACCAUGUCCCUGCGCACUUGCUGCCGACCACAUCCACGACUAGCUGCUGUCACUGAUGAUAUGGAUCAAUUUUGGUUCAAAUUGUUUCAUGAAUUUUCGGAUUGUCAUAUUUAUUUAAUUGUGAUAUCUUUGUGAUGUGGAGUUUUUGGAUUGCUAGAGAUUCUGCAGUCUGUAGCAGUAUUUCAAAUGUCUAUAGUUUUGGUAGCUCUGUAUAUCUAUUAAGAAUAUUGAAUUUCACUUUCUUAUUGAUUUUAUACUCCAGUGCAAGUUAGCUUAAGGUAAAGCUGUUGUUAUGUUGUUAGAAUGUCAUCAGGAAGACGUUUAGCCCCACAAGCAUCAACAGGGUACAUGGUGCUAAAUUGGAUGUUCUGUGAUUGAAAUGGUUCAUGUCUUGGCUACUUGAUCUGGUUUCCAGGUUUUGAUUCCAAUGAGGUCAAAUAAUGCUCCUGGGCAGCAAGGCUCAUAUCCAAUAAAGUAGUUCUACACUUCGAGCAUGCCCAUCAUUCUGCAUUCUACAUUGAUUACCAACAUGUAUUUUAUUUUCCAGCUUUUAUAUAGGAAGUACAGUAGAAAUUUCAUGGUUGACCUUCUCAGCAUAUGGAGAGAAUCUGCUGGUCAUUCUAUUACUGCUGGUGGUCCUUCUUACUAUGUGACUGCACCAUACAGGUGAACAUUUAAUUUCUUGUUGUUGCUACCUUUUUCCAUUUUGUUAUCUAGGUUUUGGCUACCCUAGCAAAUUAUAAAAUAUUGUUAUUCUUAACAUGUGCUGCAGUCAAUUUUGUACACAUUCAGGCUUUGUCUUGGUAAGAAAGUCUUGCUAUUUCUGGUUUUGGUAGUUAAGUUGAGGUUGAACAAAGAAUAUGACCGGGGUUGGACAAGGAAGUGUUCAGCUUUUUAACGGUGAACAAAUACUGCAUUUAUUGUUUAUUGGAGCCUUGUAUGAUUUAGUAAAUGUUUCUAAGACCCAGUUCAUUUUUUUAUUUUACUUGUUUCAUCGCCUAUCCUUGCAGAUGGAGAGCAGCCAAAAUAGUUAUUGACCAUUAGAUACCCCUUUGCCAUUUUCAGUACCUUUAUGGGCAAUAUUGCCUACUUUUGUCAGUCAGUUAUUCCCGCGAUACAUGAGAGAUUAAGUUUACAUUCUCGAGCUUCUCAUGUUGGAAGUAUAAUAACUCUUUAUCUCUGUAAUUUGUACAUUGAAUACGAUUCGAUUUGUUGUCUUACCAGCUGCGUGUGACCAGUAUGUUUACAGCUACAAUCGUCUACAAAUCGUCCUGUAUUAGAGGUUGGACUAGGCUACUAUUUUUCGUAUCUUUGGUCUCAUGGGUAAAUUGAUGUUUUUCUGAUGCGAUCUGACAUGGAUAUUUAGUUGUAUGGUCUCAGUUUUUUGAUUAUUUUUCAAAAUAUUAUUACCACGAGUCAUCUGUAGGAUUAACCCGCUCCCUCGUCUUAAUUAGAUGUCGUUCCGUGACCGGAGAAGAUGGAUGUUUCUAAGGCCUUGAGCUAUCCUAGAUGAUUAUUGUUAUCUGCUUAUGGAGCCUACCUGUGAUCUUUCUAAGGCCCCAGUGUAAGUGUUCUUUUAGCUCAUCACCUGCCUAUGAAGAAAAUUCCUUUUUGGCUCAUGAGGUACUCGUAUAUUUUAGGAAAGAUCACAUUGCAUUAGGCUUUGCCUUACUUUUAGAGCACAAAUUAAGUCUGAUUAUAUGAAAAUGGAUCCAGCCGUCAACUAAGAAAACAGAAAGUUGAAUCAUUCAUCUGAGGUAAACCAUUGCCUUAAAUUUUCUAUGAUGUAUUGUGACCUAUGGUUGUUUCUAUAGCAAGGAUUAUAGAAAAUUGCCAGGUAAUCAGUUAAAUCUUAUAGCAAUGAAUGGAACUAAUGAGGCUGGAUUUAUGCUUUCUGAAGGGAGGGGAGAACAGGCCAUCAGAAUGUCGAUCCCAAGGCUUACUGCAACUGGCCACAAAAGCAGCCGCGCUGCAACUCCUGGUUACUCAUACUCCUUAUGAACUGAGUUGUAUCCUUUACUCCUCUUGAUUCAUUGCGUGUUUUUAACAAUCUCCUGUCCGAUUGACAUUGUCUCACCGUAUUAUAUGGAAGGCAUGGUACCCAAAGUUUGUAGUGCUACUUGAGGCCAAAUAUUGAGAUGUAGUUGAAACACCUGUGAUAUACCCAAUCGAACCCAAGAAGCAUACAUCCAUGCUAUAUAAUAUAAUUAUUUUAGAUCAUAUAUAUAUGCGAUUUAGCUCAGGACGGUGCACAUGGUAUCUUUCCAACUGAAGUUUACAAUAUUCUUUCAUUGUUUCAGUGGGUAACCCAUUGACUCACGGAUUUCUGCAUUACUAUCCAUGAAAGUUAAUUUACUGGAUAUAUAUGAAGUAAGUGAGGUUCCUCUUAUGAGGUAGUACAAGGAUGGGGAUGGCCUUAUUUUUAGUAAAACUGAUCACUUAUUUAAGUGUGUCACUAUAUAGCUGGUGUUGCAGUUCUCCGCUUUGUCCGGCUGCCAUUGCCUAUUGUUCUCUUAGUCAUGUGUAAAUUGUUCUUUUUUGUAUUUUUCUGCAUGGUACUUCAAAUUUUCAAGUUAGUUUGUACACAAACUACGCAACUCUAUUUCCCAACAACAUACAGUACACUUGUGGUGUCCCUAGAUAUCUUUGUAAAUGAUGACAUGAAUGUCCAGCAAUCUACCCCUUUGAUGGUGUGUGCAGAAAAUAUCAAGUUAUGCCAUGGCCCUAGGUGUUGAUGUUUAUUUUCGUUCGUAUUGGAUCCAUCUCAACCAAUGGAAAUGGUGUAUAACAGAAGUACACCAUAUCGUUAUUGUCUCCUGCCCAGUUUCAACUAAUUAUAAACAUGCCUAGAUCUAUAAUAUCCUCAAUAUUUCUGUUAACCCCAUGCCUAUAUUCACGCUGCACUGGAUUUAGUUUUUCUUAGAUCUAAUAUUGCUGCUUAGUAUUACUGCAAUAUUCUUUUCGCAACUGUACUGUUGGUAGACAACUAUCCUAAAAACUGCAUUUUUUAAUUUAGAUUUUGUAUUUUCGAUACUGGUUUUUCUCUCAUGGAUUUUGUCUUCUUUCUAAUAUCGUUUACUCAUGUUGCUUAUGUGAAUAUUAUUGACCCUGGUCUCUUACUGUUCUAUUUCUUGUAAGAAAAGCUUUUCGUAGCCAAGAUGCUGAUAUGUCUGAGAUAGAGAAUUCAUCCAUUUUCACAUUAGUAGUCAGACUUCAGUAACAAGACCAUAAUAUAUGUUUUUCCAAUUUAAGCUAAUAUUAAGGCAUGACUUUACAGUUAUAUUUUUAGAUUACAACCCUUUCGAUGCUGAGGAACAAAGCAUACAUAAGAGAUCAAUUUACAUGGUGGAAGGAAAUUGCAAGAUAUGUUGUCAGGGCAAUGCGAUGGAGACACUCCAGAGGUGGCCACCGCGCCCUAGCAGGAACAACCCCUAGGACGGAGAUUCAUUAAGGGGCCCCUUGCCAUUAUCGGCCUGCGACGAAGAUCUGUGUAGGCUGUAUUGUCUAGGCGGUGGCAGCCUAUCAUGGAGCCACCUACGUGACGACGAACGUGACUAGCAUAUGUUGGUGAAUAACUCAAUGGAGAAUUAUUGGUGAAUGUAAAUUUCAAGGAAAUGAUUAAUUUAACAUUUUUUAUUCAA
Molecule: long non-coding RNA, 5028 nt
Organism: Lolium rigidum
Lineage: Eukaryota; Viridiplantae; Streptophyta; Magnoliopsida; Poales; Poaceae
Exons: 9
Source: RefSeq, a predicted model, not a curated record